CGUGAAUCCAAAACCUAGACGAUGUGAAAUGUAGUUGAGAUAUUCGAUUUUUACGAAAUGAAAAACCAGUAAAUAAAAACCGAAAUUUCGAAACAGCAAUGUGAAAAAACCAUGGUAGCUUCGUCCUUGCACUUCACCAGAAACAAGCUCCUAACUUUCUCUCUCCUCGUCCUCCUCUCUCUUCUCUGCUUCCUCCUCUUCAACAGAAGCCCUCUCGAUCCCAAACUCAGAGAUCUCAGCCUCAUCUCCCAAUUCCCCGCCCCUCUCCUUGACUCGAGAUCCCCUCUCUCCCACGACGAAUUCGAUGAUACCAAACAACCCACUUCAAUUUCAUUUGAUAUCCAAGAGAAAACGGCGCCCCUUUCAUCAAAAUCUGAUCUUGAUGAUGAACCUUCAGAGCCAUCAAUUUCUUCAAAUGAGGAAAAUGAAGUUCCCACCUCAUCAAAAUCGAAUCUUGACGACAAAUCUCCUCAGAAUGCUUCAGAGCCUUUGGAUCCAUUGGAGACGGACGAGGAAAAGACAGCUCUCAUUACACCGGAGUCCAAUUCCGAUGACAGAAACAGCACGGAAUUGGAAGAAUCUGGUCCAAAGGUGGAGUCUUUGGAGGAGACCGGUGGUUUAAUUGAUAAUGCGGUGGCGGAAAAGCUGAGGAAUUGUGAUAUGUACAGUGGGAAAUGGGUGAAAGAUGAAGGGUAUCCGCUGUAUAGAGCGGGUUCUUGUCCCUACGUGGAUGAGGCUUUCGAUUGUCAGAGCAAUGGGAGGCCGGAUUUUGGGUAUACACAAUGGAGGUGGAAACCGCAUGGAUGUGAACUUCCCAGGUUUAGCGCGACAGACUUCUUGGUGAGACUGAGAGGAAAGAGGCUUAUGCUGGUGGGAGACUCUAUGAACCGUAACCAGUUUGAAUCUCUGCUGUGUCUUCUGCGUGAAGGGCUUCCGGAUAAGUCCAAAAUGUAUGAAACUCAUGGAUAUAAAAUAACUAAAGGAAGAGGCUAUUUCAUGUUCAAAUUUGAGGAUUACAACUGCACUGUGGAAUUUGUUCGGUCCCACUUCCUUGUCAGGGAAGGGGUUCGUGUCAAUGCACAAGGAAGUUCCAAUCCUACUCUAUCCAUCGACCGCAUUGACAAGACAGCUGCUCGUUGGCUGAGAGCAGACAUACUCGUGUUCAACACGGGGCACUGGUGGACCCAUGGAAAGACGUCUAGGGGGAAAAACUACUACAAAGAAGGCGAUUACGUCUACCCUAAAUUUGAUGCUGUGGAAGCAUAUAGAAGAGCCAUCAGGACUUGGGCAACGUGGAUCAAGAAAAACAUGAGCCGCGAAAAGCUGGUUUUUUAUCGUGGAUACUCGUCUGCUCACUUCAGAGGUGGAGACUGGGAUUCUGGUGGAUCGUGCAACGGAGAGACUGAACCGGUAGUGCAAGGGGCAAUCAUCGAUAGCUACCCUCAGAAGAUGACGAUUGUGGAGGAAAUCCUCAAGGAAACGAGGGUGCAGGCAGUGCUUCUGAACGUUACACGCCUGACCAAUUUCCGCAAGGAUGGACACCCCUCCGUCUAUGGAAAGAACGUGACUCAAUUGAAGAAGGUAUCUACGAGAAGGCAAGACUGUAGCCACUGGUGUCUUCCUGGAGUGCCCGAUGCCUGGAACGAGUUCAUCUAUGCUACAUUGGUAGCCAGACAGACAUAGUCACUAAAAUCGUGUAGCCAUUUAAAGUUAAUUGGUGGAGUCGUCCUUGAAAAUGUAAUUGAUGGUGAGCAUUGAGCAAUGCAAAAGGAUGCAUCUGCAACGGCGCCAGAUCAGACGGGCUGUCUCGUUCCGAACUGCCAUCAGAACGCCAUUGCGUCUCACUGCAGAGGGCUGACAACCGCGGAGAUCACAUCUCUGUCUGACGGGAUGACGCGCCCACACACGUGGCACGAUAUGGAGUGCGCGGUGAAGUGGACGUCGUUUUGACCAUUGGAAUUUUAAUUUUUUUAAUAA
Molecule: RNA transcript, 1977 nt
Organism: Salvia hispanica
Lineage: Eukaryota; Viridiplantae; Streptophyta; Magnoliopsida; Lamiales; Lamiaceae
Gene: TBL5
Gene name: TRICHOME BIREFRINGENCE-LIKE 5
Source: RefSeq, a predicted model, not a curated record